UCUCCUUCGGCGGGGCGACCCGCCGCUGGAACCACAUCAAAACCUUUUUGCAUACAGCAUUACCUGUUCCGAUACCUAUAAUCGUUACAACUUUCAACAAUGGAUCUCUUGGCUCUGGCAUCGAUGAAGAACGCAGCGAAAUGCGAUAAGUAGUGUGAAUUGCAGAAUUCAGUGAAUCAUCGAAUCUUUGAACGCACAUUGCGCCCCUUGGUAUUCCAUGGGGCAUGCCUGUUCGAGCGUCAUCUACACCCUCAAGCUCUGCUUGGUGUUGGGCGUCUGUUCCGCCUCCGCGCGGGACUCGCCCCAAAGGCAUUGGCAGCGGUCUCUUGCACCUCUCGCGCAGCACAUUGCGCUUCUCGAGGCGAGGCAGGCCGCGACCACGAAGCCACACAUCGUCUUUGACCUCGGAUCAGGUAGGGAUACCCGC
RNAcentral lists this ribosomal RNA (427 nucleotides) under Dothideomycetes sp. MX523b. Its description in RNAcentral is "eukaryotic LSU rRNA". The stretch from base 89 to 242 matches the Rfam family "5.8S ribosomal RNA". The record is from RNAcentral. Lineage: Eukaryota; Fungi; Ascomycota; Dothideomycetes.